Molecule: long non-coding RNA, 540 nt
Filed under: Prunus persica (peach)
Lineage: Eukaryota; Viridiplantae; Streptophyta; Magnoliopsida; Rosales; Rosaceae
Description: long non-coding RNA (PPER_LNC001862)
Source: RNAcentral
UAGUGAUCAGAGUAGUAGAAGAGAUAACCGGAAGUGCUUGGGACGCAAAUUCAAAAGUAGACAUCCAAAUUUCAUCAGUCGAAAUUUAGACUUGAGUAGUCAAAUCUGACUCACCCAGGCUGUGAGUCUCACACAAAGUGCAUGUGGCACAUGCCUCAUCAAAACAAAGCUGAAAGCUAGAGAUGAAAUCAAAUCAUACGUUAAAACGAAAUAAAUCACAGAAAAAGAAACUAUAAAACUCUUAGGUCUAGCCAAAGUAAACACCAAGACUCUAAAGUUCUUCAUCAAGCAUAUAGAGAAUCACCAAGCACAACAAACACACAUCGCCGAUUACUUCACCACCAAAGUCGCAGACUAUGCACCACUUGACACUACUCAUGGUCCCAAUUUGUUCAAGAUCAAGCUGCCACGACCUCCAACCAAAUCUCAAAUUCCAAUUUAAGAUCAAGCGUUGGCCACCCUUGAAUGGUAUACACUCUUAGAGAUCGAAGCAAAUGAUUUUCUUUUGUAAAGAAUACCCACAGAGGUUAUAACACCCCC